CUUCCUGGGUGCGUUUGUGUCUCUUGUGAACCCACUUGUGGAGCGAGAGGGAAUUUGGGAGGGCCAGGGGUUAGUCUGGCCUCUGUCUUAGCUGUCAUUUUGGCGGUUUUUUUUUUUUUUCUUCAGGGGAUUUCAGUCUCCACAUAGUUUUGGAGCCGGACUUUUGAAGAAUGAUUCGUGAAUCCGGAAUGGGUGACAGCGUCAUCACGGCAUUUUAUUGACAGACCAUGGAUUCUUACAGUGCACCAGAGUCAACUCCUAGUGCAUCCUCAAGACCUGAAGAUUACUUUAUAGGUGCCACUCCUCUGCAGAAACGAUUAGAAUCGGUCAGGAAGCAGAGUUCAUUUAUCCUGACUCCACCUCGAAGGAAAAUUCCCCAGUGUUCGCAGUUGCAGGUAUGCUUUUUG
This 407-nucleotide long non-coding RNA is filed under the name Homo sapiens (human). RNAcentral's name for it is "non-protein coding lnc-CENPL-7:3". The record is from RNAcentral. Lineage: Eukaryota; Metazoa; Chordata; Mammalia; Primates; Hominidae.